Molecule: ribosomal RNA, 497 nt
Filed under: uncultured bacterium
Lineage: Bacteria
Description: partial 16S ribosomal RNA
Rfam family: Bacterial small subunit ribosomal RNA
Source: RNAcentral
GACGAACGCUGGCGGCGUGCCUAAUACAUGCAAGUUGAGCGCUGAAGGUUGGUACUUGUACCAACUGGAUGAGCAGCGAACGGGUGAGUAACGCGUGGGGAAUCUGCCUUUGAGCGGGGGACAACAUUUGGAAACGAAUGCUAAUACCGCAUAAAAACUUUAAACACAAGUUUUAAGUUUGAAAGAUGCAAUUGCAUCACUCAAAGAUGAUCCCGCGUUGUAUUAGCUAGUUGGUGAGGUAAAGGCUCACCAAGGCGAUGAUACAUAGCCGACCUGAGAGGGUGAUCGGCCACAUUGGGACUGAGACACGGCCCAAACGCCUACGGGAGGCAGCAGUAGGGAAUCGUCGGCAAUGGACGAAAGUCUGACCGAGCAACGCCGCGUGAGUGAAGAAGGUUUUCGGAUCGUAAAACUCUGUUGGUAGAGAAGAACGUUGGUGAGAGUGGAAAGCUCAUCAAGUGACGGUAACUACCCAGAAAGGGACGGCUAACUACGUG